AAGUCGUAACAAGGUCUCCGUUGGUGAACCAGCGGAGGGAUCAUUACAGGACUCGCAAGACUCCUACAACCCUGUGAACCUACUAUACGAACGUUGCUUCGGCGGGUGCGCCCCGGGGAUUCGUUCCCGAGGCGCGUCAGCCCGCCGGCAGCCUACAAAUUCUGUUUCUUUGCGUUGGCAUCUCGAGAAAAAAAAAAUAAGUUAAAACUUUCAACAACGGAUCUCUUGGUUCUG
Molecule: unclassified non-coding RNA, 234 nt
Filed under: Chloridium sp.
Lineage: Eukaryota; Fungi; Ascomycota; Sordariomycetes; Chaetosphaeriales; Chaetosphaeriaceae
Description: partial internal transcribed spacer region
Rfam family: Eukaryotic small subunit ribosomal RNA (bases 1-46)
Source: RNAcentral